AUACUUACCUGGACGGGGUUUAUGGGUGAUCAAGAAUGCCCAUUGCCUAGGUUGGUGAAUUCAUUGCCCUUGGGAGGGUUGUCCACCUAACAUCUUCCCAAGUGGGAGAGUGUACGUCAUAAUUUGUGGCAGAGGGGCUACGCUUUCGCAGCCCCUA
This is a small nuclear RNA of Macadamia integrifolia, 157 nucleotides long. RefSeq annotates it as U1 spliceosomal RNA. The record is from RefSeq and is a predicted model, not a curated record. The transcript has a single exon. NCBI's taxonomy places the organism in Eukaryota, Viridiplantae, Streptophyta, Magnoliopsida, Proteales, Proteaceae.